This 1498-nucleotide ribosomal RNA is filed under the name uncultured Bordetella sp. RNAcentral describes it as "partial 16S-23S ribosomal RNA intergenic spacer". It matches the Rfam family "Bacterial small subunit ribosomal RNA". Lineage: Bacteria; Pseudomonadati; Pseudomonadota; Betaproteobacteria; Burkholderiales; Alcaligenaceae. The record is from RNAcentral.
AGUUUGAUUCUGGCUCAGAUUGAACGCUGGCGGGAUGCUUUACACGGGCAAGUCGAACGGCAGCACGGACUUCGGUCUGCGUGGCGAGUGGCGAACGGGUGAGUAAUGUAUCGGAACGUGCCUAGUAGCGGGGAUAACUACGCGAAAGCGUAGCCAAUACCGCAUACGUAGCCCUUCGGGGGAAAGCGGGGACCUUCGGGCCUCGCACUAUUAGAGCGGCCGGAUAUCGGAUUAGCUAGUUGGUGUGGGGCAACGGCUCACCAAGGCGACGAUCCGUAGCUGGUUUGAGAGGACGACCAGCCACACUGGGACUGAGACACGGCCCAGACUCCUACGGGAGGCAGCAGUGGGAAUUUUGGACAAUGGGGAAACCCUGGAUCCAGCCAUCCCGCGUGUGCGAUGAAGGCCUCGGUUGUAAAGCACUUUUGGCAGGAAAGAAACGGCACGGGAUAAUACCCCGUGCAACUGACGGUACCUGCAGAAUAAGCACCGGCUAACUACGUGUGCCGUAGCCGCGGUAAUACGUAGGGAAAGUAAGCGUUAAUCGGAAUUACUGGGCGUAAAGCGUGCGCAGGCGGUUCGGAAAGAAAGAUGUGAAAUCCCAGAGCUUAACUUUUGAACUGCAUUUUUAACUACCGAGCUAGAGUGUCAGAGGGAGGUGUGAAUUCCGCGUGUAGCAGUGAAAUGCGUAGAUAUGCGGAGGAACACCGAUGGCGAAGGCAGCCUCCUGGGAUAACACUGACGCUCAUGCACGAAAGCGUGGGGAGCAAACAGAUUAGAUACCCUGGUAGUCCACGCCCUAAACGAUGUCAACUAGCUGUUGGGGCCUUCGGGCCUUGCAGCGCAGCUAACGCGUGAAGUUGACCGCCUGGGGAGUACGGUCGCAAGAUUAAAACUCAAAGCGAAUUGACGGGACCCGCACAAGCGGUGGAUGAUGUGGAUUAAUUCGAUGCAAACGCGAAAACCUUACCUACCCUUGACAUGUCUGAAUCCCGAAGAGAUUUGGGAGUGCUCGCAAGAGAACCGGAACACAGGUGCUGCAUGGCUGUCGUCAGCUCGUGUCAGGAGAUGUUGGGUUAAAGUCCGGCAACGAGCGCAACCCUUGUCAUUAGUUGCUACGAAAGCGCACUCUAAUGAGACUGCCGGUGACAAACCGGAGGAAGGUGGGGAUGACGUCAAGUCCUCAUGGCCCUUAUGGGCAGGGCUUCACACGUCAUACAAUGGUCGGGACAGAGGGUCGCCAACCCGCGAGGGGGAGCCAAUCCUGGUGAAACCCGAUCGUAGUCCGGAUCGCAGUCUGCAACUCGGACUGCGUGAAGUCGGAAUCGCUAGUGCAAUCGCGGAUCAGCAUGUCGCGGUGAAUACGUUCCCUGGGGUCUUGUACACACCGCCCGUCACACCAUGGGAGUGGGUUUUACCAGAAGUAGUUAGCCUAACCGUAAGGAGGGCGAUUACCACGGUAGGAUUCAUGACUGUAGUGAAGUCGUAACAAGGUAAC